UAAAAAGCAAUGACCGUGUAUAGUAGAGACUCAUUUUCUAUCAGAGAGAGAGAAUCACUGGCUGAAAGUUCUCUUUAGUUCAGAUGACGAUCGAAUUUCCCGCGCGAGCUGUAUUCCUGAACCCAUGUAUCCGGGCGUCUGAGAUGGCGGAUACGCUGAGUAUUUUAGUAAGUAGGGAAUGCCGUAGUUUGUACGUUACACAAAGACAGAGCGCCCGUGGAGUAUCCAUGGGAAUCAGGGUGGUACCGCGGAUCAUGACUUCGUCCCUUUU
RNAcentral lists this non-coding RNA (271 nucleotides) under Lachnospiraceae bacterium. RNAcentral describes it as "T-box sequence". It matches the Rfam family "T-box leader". Rfam says of the family: Uncharged tRNA acts as the effector for transcription antitermination of genes in the T-box leader family. T-boxes are found upstream of many aminoacyl-tRNA synthetase genes and some amino acid biosynthetic genes usually in Gram-positive bacteria. The record is from RNAcentral. Lineage: Bacteria; Bacillati; Bacillota; Clostridia; Lachnospirales; Lachnospiraceae.